Molecule: long non-coding RNA, 2139 nt
Organism: Phyllostomus discolor (pale spear-nosed bat)
Lineage: Eukaryota; Metazoa; Chordata; Mammalia; Chiroptera; Phyllostomidae
Exons: 3
Source: RefSeq, a predicted model, not a curated record
GAAAGACGCUAGAAGGCUCAGCUGAGGCAAGUCUGCUAUGCUAAGGCCAGGGCCCUGGUUAGGAAAACCGGGGUCCUAACACAUGGGACGGGGACACCUGUAUAUUUUGCCUGCCCCCCAGACUCUGCACUAUCAGAGCACGGAGAGUUGGCCCACCUCCGGCUAACGAGGUAGUGAGAAUGUUUAAGCAGGGAGUUUAGGGUGGUCACACCAACAAAAUGUCACAAAGUCUUGGCCAGUUCUUGGACCUCAUCCAGUUUUUACAUCUUUGUAGAAGGGGACACUCACUGGUGGAAGGGGUGCCUGGGUCUCCAGGAGAAAGGACUGUGCUAUACCACAGCAAGCUUAUACUGAAAGAAGAUCAGAAACAGCUCACAUUCACGUGGCAUGGACAACAAUACACAUUCAUAGUUUUAUCCCAGGGCUGUGUGGGUCCUCUUCUCCUUGUCACAAUAGUCCAGAAGAGAUGUAGACCAGUGGGCAUCCUGCGGAACAUCACAUUGAUCCAUGACAUCCAUGACGUCACACUGACCAGGAGGCGGGGCAAGAGGCACGCGUGGCCGGUCCUCGGCGAACCGCCAAAUGGACACAUUUAGGGACACGAUCAAGUCUGUUCAGAUGAGGACACUAACGAGAAGACGGGGGGCACAUACUCAGAUAGUCAGAGCAACAAGUUGGCGGGACUUUGCUUUUGUUUUCCUCCAACCUGUUCUUUCCGCCUGCUGCAGAGAAGGGCUCCGGUCAACAAUAGUGGUCUCUCGUUCCACUAACGAGGUCCGGUGGUGGUGGUGGUGGCAGUGUCAGGGUGAUGGGUACUCACAGUGGUGGAGACACUGGUGACAACCCCGCGGUGGUUGCAGUGACGGUAUAGAUGUCAGUAGUAGUGAACCCCGUGAGUGUGGUUAUAGUGACAUGGUACUGGUGUCAGCUGUGGAGACAGUGAGGUGAGUGGUGGUGUUGGUGGUGGCCAGUUUGGUGGGGCUAUGAUGGUCAUGGUAAUGACAGACAGUGAUGGUGGGAGGGUGAGGUGACAAUGGUGCUGAUUACGUGGUUGUGGGCAGUGAUGGCACGAUGAUGUCGGUGCUCAUGGAUGGUGGUGAAAGCGAUGGUGGUGUUGGUGCUGCAAAGGAUGGCACAGUUUUGGUGGUAAAAUGACAGUUGUCUUGGAUGGUGGUAACAGUGAUGGUUGAGAUUGGUGUAAGGAUAGCAGGGGUCAUGGGUCAAAAUGAUUUUUUAACGAUGCUUUGUGUUUCGGUGGUGAUGAUAGUGGUAGUGGUGUCGGCACCAUGACAGCCCUCUGUUUGAUGGUGCUGGUGACAUCUGCCCGUCUUCAUGGAACCGAUGGAUGUGGGUGCUGGUAUCAGUGUGAAACUUAAUGGUGACUUUGCCAUCGUUCGGCUGAUGGUAGUGGUGAUGAAGGUGGUGCUCACAGGGACAGCGGCGGGACAGUGGAGGGACGCAGUGAUAGGGAGGGUGGUCGUGGAGACAAGGAUGAAGACUGGGAUGGCGGUGACUCCAUGGCGAGCCGUACCGCUUCUGCAGAGACCCCCGGAUUGCACGAGCUGGACACGGGUCUCCUCGCUGUGGCUGACUGUGCCGGGUGGGGGGAAAGGGUCGCACAUUCCUCCAAAGCCCUCCUUCCCACAGCUGCAUUCCUGGUGAAGCUCAGUUCUCCAUGCAGGAGAUGGCUAUCUUUGGGGGGGGCGGGGGAUGGCGCUGAGAAACAGGUCUGUGGCCAGGAACGUAAACAGAGAGGCUCUGUGAGGCAGGUCACCAGGGCACAGGUAUGUGAGGCAUGCCUACAGCGGGGGUUGUGCUGGGGGCAGGGAGGCAGCUGAAGUGGCCGUGCAGGGGCUCACGUAGCUGGUAGAACAAAGGCUGUAUUUCGGCUGAGUCAGCAGAGCAGGCUGGGACUGAUUCUCUUGGACUAAUAAUGUGUCUUCUCCCUGGGAUUAGCUCACUCGGUCCCCGCUGGGAAAAGGGGAGGGGGCAGGCUCUCCCAUCUCCCCAGGCUCAGGGGCCUUGCAGGAGGCUGGGAGGGAAGCAUAGGGCCCUAGCAGGGUUAGUGAUGGAACCUAUGUGUUGUGUCCUCACCUCAUUUCCAGUGGGCACCCAUUUGGCUGGCAGGGUGCCAGCCUC